This 497-nucleotide ribosomal RNA is filed under the name uncultured bacterium. RNAcentral's name for it is "partial 16S ribosomal RNA". It matches the Rfam family "Bacterial small subunit ribosomal RNA", at positions 28 to 507 of the family's 1533-position model. The record is from RNAcentral.
GACGAACGCUGGCGGCGUGCCUAAUACAUGCAAGUAGAACGCUGAAGAGAGGAGCUUGCUCUUCUUGGAUGAGUUGCGAACGGGUGAGUAACGCGUAGGUAACCUGCCUUGUAGCGGGGGAUAACUAUUGGAAACGAUAGCUAAUACCGCAUAACAAUAGGUGACACAUGUCAUUUAUUUGAAAGGGGCAAUUGCUCCACUACAAGAUGGACCUGCGUUGUAUUAGCUAGUAGGUGAGGUAACGGCUCACCUAGGCGACGAUACAUAGCCGACCUGAGAGGGCGAUCGGCCACACUGGGACUGAGACACGGCCCAGACUCCUACGGGAGGCAGCAGUAGGGAAUCUUCGGCAAUAGGGGCAACCCUGACCGAGCAACGCCGCGUGAGUGAAGAAGGUUUUCGGAUCGUAAAGCUCUGUUGUAAGUCAAGAACGAGUGUGAGAGUGGAAAGUUCACACUGUGACGGUAGCUUACCAGAAAGGGACGGCUAACUACGUG